RNAcentral lists this microRNA precursor (103 nucleotides) under Marmota monax (woodchuck). Lineage: Eukaryota; Metazoa; Chordata; Mammalia; Rodentia; Sciuridae. The record is from RNAcentral.
ACUGGGAUUUUUGGGUUAUAUGGUAAGUGUAUGUUUAACUUUGUAAGAAAAUGCCAAACUGUUUUCCAAAGUGGCAGUAUCAUUUUACAUUCCUACCAGCAGU